RNAcentral lists this long non-coding RNA (1513 nucleotides) under Phasianus colchicus (ring-necked pheasant). RNAcentral describes it as "lncRNA (ENSPCLG00000009963.1)". Lineage: Eukaryota; Metazoa; Chordata; Aves; Galliformes; Phasianidae. The record is from RNAcentral.
CCCGCCGUUCCCCGCCGCCCGCCCCCGGGUCCCUCCCCCGAGGCCGAUCCCCCUCCCCCGGGUCCCUCCCCCGGCUCCAGGUCCCCCCGGCGCGGUGAGGCGAGGCCCGGCCCGGCGGGGCCCGGCCCGGCGCUGGGCGGAGCCGCCUCUGGCCCCUCCGAGCGGGCGGGCGCCUCGCGCUCAGCGUUUCGCCCCUCUCCUCUCCCCCCCCGGGCCUCGGCGGGGCCCGGCCUUACCGCUCAUGGUGGCCGGGGGCCGAGCCCGAGCGGCGGCGGGGCGGGGAGGAGGGGGCGGGCGCGCCCGGCGCGCUGAGGCGGCGGCCUAACCCCGCCGGUGACCGCCGAGGGGCUGCCGAGGGAGGGAGCCGCGCACCGCUGCCCCGGCCCCGCUGCCCGCCCCCGCCGCCUCCUCGCCCAAUGGCAGCGCGUCGAGGGCGCCCCGUCCUUCCGUCACCGCCCCGCCUGCCGCCAUCUCGCAGCGUAGGCCUCGUCACGACGCUGACACCGCAGGAGCUCUGUCACGAUAGCCAACCCUCUGCCCUGUCACGAUAUGGCAGCCCUGCGACAAAGCCGGGCUGGGAGCCGUCGCUCCUGGGCUGCCAUCAAAGCCCUCUCAGGACUCCACACAGCGCAGCCCAUCGCUUUGAGGCACUGCUGACCCCAGCCCCACGGAGCCCUUUUCCUCCACCCGUUGGUUUUGAAGCCCCCCAUCGCCGCUUCCUGCUGUCCCCCAUUUCCUGGGGCUGUUUUUUGGUUUAUUUUUCUCUCUCCUUCCCCCCCCCCUUCCCUCCCCAUCGCAGCUGGAAAGUUCUGCAGUCGCCCGCCAUGACCUCACCGCGCUUCCAGCGGAACUCUUUUAUUUUUGCUUUCCAUUCCUGGCAGAUGGCGAACCCCAGAGCAGUGCUGUGCCAAUGGCGAAGGGACGAACCUCCUGCCUCAGUGCUGCUGUGUGUCCCCGGGGUCGGUGAAGUUCCCUGGCUCUGCGCCCACCGGUGGGGCCGGGCCUGGUGCUGGGGAGGGCUGUGGGGCUUUAUCUUUUCCCUGCAUGGUGUGGGUGGGGGCACAUUGCUGUCCCUAAACUGGGUCACAGCCAGCGCCGUGCGGGGCGAAGGUUGACUCUGCCCCAUUCCUCGGGCAAAGGCUGCUCUGCAUCCCGGCUGUUGUCCGUGCUGCCUUGGUGAGGGCGGGGGGGAGGAGGGGAAGGGGGGCAAAUCCUCCUCCUGCCCCACUAUGGGGGCAGUGUAAAUGCCCAUCGUGCCCAACUGUGGGGGGGGUGAAUCUCUAUCCUGCCCCAUUGCUCCCUGGUGGGAACAGCUGGAGGCAGAUCUCUGUCCUGCUGCAGUAUUGAGACGGGGCUGGGGGGAUUUGGAUACAGCCCCCCCUCUUUAGACUCCCCUUCACCCCACCAGCAGCCCAUUACCUCCAUCAGCAGCUUCCCGUGAGCACCCUUCAAUUACCCCCUCACACUCCUCAUUAGCACUCAUUAAGACUCCAUUCCCACUCCCCCCCCAGUU